GAUGAAGAACGUAGCGAAAUGCGAUAAGUAAUGUGAAUUGCAGAAUUUAGUGAAUCAUCGAAUCUUUGAACGCACAUUGCGCCCCCUGGUAUUCCGGGGGGCAUGCCUGUCCGAGCGUCAUUACAACCCUCAAGCUCAGCUUGGUAUUGGGCCCCGCCGACCCGGCGGGCCCUAAAGUCAGUGGCGGUGCCGUCCGGCUCCGAGCGUAGUAAUUCUUCUCGCUCUGGAGGUCCGGUCGUGUGCUCGCCAGCAACCCCCAAUUUUUUUCAGGUUGACCUCGGAUCAGGUAGGGAUACCCGCUGAACUUAAGCAUAUCAAUAAGCGGAGGA
This 329-nucleotide unclassified non-coding RNA is filed under the name soil metagenome. RNAcentral describes it as "partial contains 5.8S ribosomal RNA, internal transcribed spacer 2, and large subunit ribosomal RNA". The stretch from base 1 to 120 matches the Rfam family "5.8S ribosomal RNA", at positions 35 to 154 of the family's 154-position model. The record is from RNAcentral.